UACGUAGGGGGCAAGCGUUAUCCGGAUUUACUGGGUGUAAAGGGAGCGCAGACGGCAGUGCAAGUCUGGAGUGAAAGCCCGGGGCCCAACCCCGGGACUGCUCUGGAAACUGUACGGCUGGAGUACGGGAGGGGCAGGCGGAAUUCCUAGUGUAGCGGUGAAAUGCGUAGAUAUCAGGAGGAACACCGGUGGCGAAGGCGGCCUGCUGGACUGCAACUGACGUUGAGGCCCGAAAGCGUGGGGAGCAAACAGG
Molecule: ribosomal RNA, 253 nt
Filed under: uncultured bacterium
Lineage: Bacteria
Description: partial 16S ribosomal RNA
Rfam family: Bacterial small subunit ribosomal RNA
Source: RNAcentral